RNAcentral lists this ribosomal RNA (497 nucleotides) under uncultured bacterium. RNAcentral describes it as "partial 16S ribosomal RNA". It matches the Rfam family "Bacterial small subunit ribosomal RNA", at positions 28 to 507 of the family's 1533-position model. The record is from RNAcentral.
GAUGAACGCUGGCGGCGUGCCUAAUACAUGCAAGUCGAGCGAACAGACGAGGAGCUUGCUCCUCUGACGUUAGCGGCGGACGGGUGAGUAACACGUGGAUAACCUACCUAUAAGACUGGGAUAACUUCGGGAAACCGGAGCUAAUACCGGAUAAUAUAUUGAACCGCAUGGUUCAAUAGUGUAAGACGGUUUUGCUGUCACUUAUAGAUGGAUCCGCGCCGCAUUAGCUAGUUGGUAAGGUAACGGCUUACCAAGGCAACGAUGCGUAGCCGACCUGAGAGGGUGAUCGGCCACACUGGAACUGAGACACGGUCCAGACUCCUACGGGAGGCAGCAGUAGGGAAUCUUCCGCAAUGGGCGAAAGCCUGACGGAGCAACGCCGCGUGAAUGAUGAAGGUCUUCGGAUCGUAAAACUCUGUUAUUAGGGAAGAAAAAAUGUGUAAGUAAAUAUGCACGUCUUGACGGUACCUAAUCAGAAAGCCACGGCUAACUACGUG